Long non-coding RNA from Grus americana (Whooping crane), 340 nucleotides. RefSeq lists it as uncharacterized. The transcript has 3 exons. The record is from RefSeq and is a predicted model, not a curated record. NCBI's taxonomy places the organism in Eukaryota, Metazoa, Chordata, Aves, Gruiformes, Gruidae.
CAACCCCAUGAGCUCAAAGCAAUGGCUGCAAAUAUAACUAGUUUUCGUAGUCCGCAAGCAAAAAUGACAUGGCUUCCAGUCGAGAUUGACUAAUCGUGUUGAUUUGACUGGACCAGCUUUCAACAAAGGCAUUGGAGAAAAACUGCAGCAGCUGUCAUCUUUCUCUGUGGGAUUUCAGUAACUGUUGAUGCUUGGUAGGAAGCCACAGCAACAAGUCAAUCUCUGAAGUGCCAGCUUACAUCCGCCUUCUUGCUAGUGGAUCCUCUGCUCUCCUGCAUCCGUCACUGGGAAAUGACAAACACACCAUUUCUCCCGUCUCAUCAUUCUCUUCUGGCACUUG